AGUUGACACGAGAGCAUAAUUUUCUUUUUUGACUCAUUUUAUCACUUUGUCUGCCUUUUAAUGGCUGUUAUCUUUUUUUCCUCCUUUGAGGAGCUGUAAAAAUCCAGGCACCCAGCCCACUGUGAGAACAGCACACCAGUUUUGCAGUGGCUUUACUCCUAUCUACAUACUGAAUGCCUUUACCUGGAAAAGGCAAAUAUCACAGGAGUCUGUAAGAAGUAGACUGUAGAUAUUGCAGCUUGAAUUUGUGAGAGGACUUCCCUGGAGCCUGAACCACCUCGCUCCAGCUCAAAGGAGAGCCCAGCCCUCUGUCUUUCUUAAAGGCCGGUACAAUAUCCAGCAAGGCACCCUGGCAGCCUAUGUAGUAAGACAGUAGCUCAUCAAGCUCCUGACUGCAGCGUGUCCCAGCAGGCUGCAGAAGGGUCAUGUCUUACACAGAGUCCCCACUGUGGCUUUGCUCUGCUGGGUCAAGGGAAACAUGAGGUGACAAUUUUUGCCCUUUCCUAUUAAUAGUUAAAAUGGUAGAAGGAGAAAGAAGAGGUCUGUACGGAUUUUGUCUUCAAGAUUGAUUUUAUAAUUUCAGGGGAACAUGGAAAGAUGGACCCGCUCCAAGGCUUUUGACUUCCCACACCUUUAAGAGAGAGACAGCAGGAUGACAUCUCAGAUGCUCUGUAGCUGUCCCAGAUCGUGAC
Molecule: long non-coding RNA, 692 nt
Filed under: Numida meleagris (helmeted guineafowl)
Lineage: Eukaryota; Metazoa; Chordata; Aves; Galliformes; Numididae
Description: lncRNA (ENSNMEG00000014498.1)
Source: RNAcentral